GUCUAGCCAUACCACCCUGAACGUGCCUAAUCUCAUCUGAUCUCAGAAGCUAAGUAAGGUUGGGCCUGGUUAGUACUUGGAUGAGAGACACUUAUUGCCUUUUAAACAAUGUGCUGUAGAGA
RNAcentral lists this ribosomal RNA (122 nucleotides) under Otolemur garnettii (small-eared galago). The record is from RNAcentral. Lineage: Eukaryota; Metazoa; Chordata; Mammalia; Primates; Galagidae.